ACUCACCAUAUUACAGAUGGAGGCGAUGUUUCGGACAGUCAUUAGUCUAAAGGUUGCAGCGAUCCCGCACCGCCAUCUUUAUAAGCACAGAGCGUUGCCAUGUUACCAGGACAGCAGGAUAGCAAACAUCUGGCAACGAAGAGCCAUUUUUUGCAGAAGCAGAAUGUACUUCGUCCACAUGUGCCACAAUCUCAUGCCUCUGCCUUUGCAGGAGAGGAAGCCGGGAUAUCCCCUGGUACUCCGUGCAUUCAGCUACUAAUGGGAUAAAGAAUAUAAGGAAUGAACAGAAGUGGAAGCUGAAGACAUUCAGUGAAGGAUGAUGGCCAACUAUGUAAGAAGAAUCCCAGACGCACCAAGGAAGCCUAGAAGAACGGCACAGCUGUGCCACUAGGUGCCUCAUAAUGUGAUACACUAGGAAGAAGGGAGUUUUCUUGCCCCUAACAUUCAACUCAGAUCUCAUCAAGCCCAUUUACAGAAAAUAAAGAACCAAGUUAAAUGACACCAAAGGGAAGCAAGAAGGCAAAUCCAGAAUGCCAUAUUAUUCAGGCAUCAGAAGGAAUGAAGAAGGAGUCCAGCACUGCAUAGCACUGCUCUUGUCUGUUGGGCCUUGGAAACAUUAUGGUACUGCUUCCUUCUUCUGCGCGUGGGUGUCUGGCUCCGUUCUGGACAUUUAUCACCUGUCAGGAAGCUGGGUUUACUGCAAAACGUGAGGAGAGGAAAGAGGGCAAGACUCGGAGAGCUUCGGUGCAUCAUUGAGGGAUCAUUGUUUUCCAGCUACGUUGGGGGGAAAAAAAAAAGCAACACGAGGCCUCCGAGAUGGUCUGAGAUUAAUGUGUUUGUGUGCAAGUGGGAAAAAACAAGCCCAUGUGAAAUGUGUCCCAUCCCAAACAGGGUGGAGAAAAGCAGUGUCAGAUUGUUGCCUGUUCACCCUUUUUAUCCAGAGGGCUUGGUGGCUGUUGGGAGAGGGCAGGCAAUGGAUCUUUUUUUUUUUUUUUUUUUUUUUUAAGAUUUUACUUAUUUAAUUUAGA
Long non-coding RNA from Neogale vison (American mink), 1028 nucleotides. RefSeq lists it as uncharacterized. The transcript has 5 exons. Lineage: Eukaryota; Metazoa; Chordata; Mammalia; Carnivora; Mustelidae. The record is from RefSeq and is a predicted model, not a curated record.